UCAGGCUUUGCUUGGUGGUGAGAGUGGCGGACGGGUGAGUAACGCGUGAGUAACCUGCCUCUCAGAGGGGGAUAACGUUCUGAAAAGAACGCUAAUACCGCAUGACAUCUUUAUUUCGCAUGGAGUGAAGAUCAAAGGAGCAAUCCGCUGAGAGAUGGACUCGCGUCCGAUUAGCCAGUUGGCGGGGUAACGGCCCACCAAAGCGACGAUCGGUAGCCGGACUGAGAGGUUGAACGGCCACAUUGGGACUGAGACACGGCCCAGACUCC
This 269-nucleotide ribosomal RNA is filed under the name uncultured Eubacteriales bacterium. RNAcentral describes it as "uncultured Clostridiales bacterium partial 16S ribosomal RNA". It matches the Rfam family "Bacterial small subunit ribosomal RNA", at positions 73 to 339 of the family's 1533-position model. The record is from RNAcentral. Lineage: Bacteria; Bacillati; Bacillota; Clostridia; Eubacteriales.